This 818-nucleotide ribosomal RNA is filed under the name Lathys alberta. RNAcentral's name for it is "SSU rRNA". It matches the Rfam family "Eukaryotic small subunit ribosomal RNA", at positions 83 to 895 of the family's 1831-position model. The record is from RNAcentral. Lineage: Eukaryota; Metazoa; Arthropoda; Arachnida; Araneae; Dictynidae.
GAAACCGCGAAUGGCUCAUUAAAUCAGUUAUGGUUCCUUGGUAUGAAGCCCUGUUACUUGGAUAACUGUGGCAAUUCUAGAGCUAAUACAUGCAAUGAAACUCGGCCCUUCGGGGAAGAGUGCUUUUAUUAGACCAAGACCAAUGCGGGCCUCGCGCCCGGACGUUGGUGGUGACUCUGGAUAACUUUCUGACGAUCGCACGGGUCCAUCCCGGCGACGCAUCUUUCAAGUGUCUGCCUUAUCAACUUUCGAUGGUAGGCCACGAGCCUACCAUGGUUGUAACGGGUGACGGGGAAUCAGGGUUCGAUUCCGGAGAGGGAGCCUGAGAAACGGCUACCACAUCCAAGGAAGGCAGCAGGCACGCAAAUUACCCACUCCCGGCCCGGGGAGGUAGUGACGAAAAAUAACGAUACGGGACUCUAUUGAGACCCCGUAAUCGGAAUGAGAACGUUCCAAACACCCUAUCGAAUGCAAUCGGAGGGUAAGCCAGGUGCCAGCAUCCGCGGUAACACCUGUUCCGAUAGCGUAUAUUACAGUUGCUGCGGUUAAAAAGCUCGUAGUUGGAUCUCAGUUACAGACGUGUGGUCCGCCUAAACGGCGGUAACUACACGUGCUGUAUCAGCCAGCCGGUUUCUCUCGAUGAUCUUCACCGGUUGUCUUGAGUGACCGGCAACAUUACUUUGAAUAAAUCAAAGUGCUCAACGCAGGCUACACGCCUAUAUAAUGGUGCAUGGAAUAAUGGAAUAGGACCUCGGUUCUGUUCUGUUGGUCUACCGAACACGAGGUAAUGAUUAAGAGGAACUGACGGGGGCAUUCGU